Molecule: long non-coding RNA, 2389 nt
Organism: Pungitius pungitius (ninespine stickleback)
Lineage: Eukaryota; Metazoa; Chordata; Actinopteri; Perciformes; Gasterosteidae
Exons: 4
Source: RefSeq, a predicted model, not a curated record
GGCCGGGCUUAGUUGACUGUUCUCCUAAUGUUACAGCAAUCAAAUCUAAGGAGAAAACCCACCAGCUCUUUGCAGUUUGAUAGUUUUCACGCCCGUGUUUAAGCUCCGAACAUGUUUUGAAUGCCGCGUGUCCUUUAAAUGUGUUGUUCAUGCAACAAAGAUUCCUGAAGUCGAAACCCGAGGUCAGGAUGCUGAGAGAGACACCCCCCCUCCCCCCGCUCGACCAACACGGAGCCAUGAGACGUAAGACGGGAAGCAUGGGUGAAGAGGACAGUAGAACGUGGAGUGAGACAGCAUGGUGAUCAUCACAACAAGGGUCAUCAGGUGAUUUAGAGGAACGACGGCUGAUUUCAUCUGAGAACAUUGAAAGGCGCCAUGAGGACCCACCAUGGGUCAGGGAGCAGGAAGUGAGGAAUCCACAAACAGAGAAGUGAAUGCGCCGCCUUGAACCACGUUCUUUAAUAUAUGGAUAUAUGUUAUGCACGGAGGACAUAAAAGAAUGGUUGGAUGAAUGUGGAUAUAUGGUUUAACAGAUGGAUGGAUGAGGAUCUAUGAUAUAAACUGAUGGAUGGAUGAGGAUAUAUGAUAUAAACUGAUGGAUGGAUGAGGAUAUAUGAUAUAAACUGAUGGAUGGAUGAGGAUCUAUGAUAUAAACUGAUGGAUGGAUGAGGAUAUAUGAUAUAAACUGAUGGAUGGAUGAGGAUAUAUGAUAUAAACUGAUGGAUGGAUGUGUAACAGGUCGGUGGUCUACUUGUUCUUCACAGCGUGUCCUUUAUUAUCUGCAGGAUGCCGUCUUCUAGGGUGAGAUCUAAUCACCCCCCCCCACCCCCCCUAUCCUCGGCUGAUUAGAUCCCAGAGAACCAGCUGAGGCCUGAAGGAUGAGAGUGGAGGCAAAGAGCAGGAGACCCACGGUGACGUCAUCUAUUGAAAUGCAAAACAACAACAACAACAAAGCACCAGCCGUUGGCGUCGCUCUGCUGAUCUCCACCCAUCAAACCACUCUGAUCAUCAGCUGCUCAUCACGAGGUUCCAGCUGGGAGGGUUUUUUAAAGCGCUGAAGCAGGACGUCCCUUCAGUCGCUUACAGCUGAAGACCAGGACCAGGGACCAUGUCCCCCCCUCAGCGCCCCCUGCUGGUCUGUCUGAAGACGGACUCUGAAGCAGCAGCUUUGGUUGCAGCGCCCUCCAGAGGCGGAGCAGGUCGUCACGUCCCCCCCCCUCAGCUUCCUGUCUGCGUUGGUUCCUCUGCAGGCCUCCAGGGGGCGCCGGGGUUCCAGACUCCGAGAAUCCUUCCUGUGGUGGAAGCCCUGAAGACAGAAUAUGACAGACUUCAUUUUAGUCCUCUUUGCGGUUCUUCUGCGUAGAAAAUACUUUUUAGAGAAUUUUUAUAAAUUUGAACAAAGUGAAUCUGAGAAAGAAGCUUUCUGAGCUCACCUUGGUUUGUGAGAUGUGAAAGAAACGCACGACAAAGACGGACAAACAUACCUGGUGGCCCUGUUUGAAGGUGUGUGUAUGCGCGUGUGUGUGUGUGUGACUGUGUGUGUGUGUGUGUGUGCGUGCGUGAGAACUCACGGAUGCAGCGUGUGCAUGGCGUGGACGUAUUGUGGACGUAGCGAGGACAUAGUGUGGACGUAGCAAGGACAUAGUGUGGACGUAGCGAGGACGUAGAGAGGACGUAGUGUGGACAUAGCGAGGACGUAAACGAGGACACAAGUAGACGAGGACAAACCUUGCGUCAGGAGGCCAUUGGCGUCAUUGACUUAAACUCAAUAACCAGCUGGUUUGCUUGAUAAAGGCAUAAAGCGUUUGUUUGUGGACUCGUGGUUCGUUUCAUUGUGUUUCUGUCUUUUAAUUCAACAUUAAUAUUCAACGUCACGUGUAUAAACACACGUAUGUAUAUUAAUACUUAAUUAAUACUACUUUAGACCAGUGCUUCGAUGCGUUCACCACAUUCCCGUCACUUUUACCCGUCAUGCUAACGCGUGCUAACGGGUACUAACGCGUGCUAACAUGCUAACGCGUAGCCGAGGCCGAGAGGAAGAUUCCCUGCUCUACUUCUUCUGAUGUCAAUAUUAUCUUCUCAUUUAUGGAACUGUUCAUCGGAAAAAUAAAACAUUUGAUGGUUUGUUGCCUCGGGAACGUUUGAGAGGCUUUUACAGAUUUAUUGAAUAAAAUUAAGAUGAAAUAAAAGUUAGUAGCGGUGAAAGUAAUAUGACAUUAUGAUGAUUGAUGAGUUGUUUUUUUUGUCUUAAAAGCCUGGAAAUAAAAGGCGAGAUGGAUGAUUUCAUCAUUUAUUCUACGGAACGUUUGGUGAUUUAUGGAUUUAAUGUCGAUCACUUUUCUGGACUCUUUGUUAAAAGAAUAAAUCUGGAUAUUGAAAUAAAACUGCA